This 496-nucleotide ribosomal RNA is filed under the name uncultured bacterium. RNAcentral's name for it is "partial 16S ribosomal RNA". It matches the Rfam family "Bacterial small subunit ribosomal RNA", at positions 29 to 507 of the family's 1533-position model. The record is from RNAcentral.
AUGAACGCUGGCGGCGUGCCUAAUACAUGCCAGUCGAGCGAACAGACGAGGAGCUUGCUCCUCUGACGUUAGCGGCGGACGGGUGAGUAACACGUGGAUAACCUACCUAUAAGACUGGGAUAACUUCGGGAAACCGGAGCUAAUACCGGAUAAUAUAUUGAACCGCAUGGUUCAAUAGUGAAAGACGGUUUUGCUGUCACUUAUAGAUGGAUCCGCGCCGCAUUAGCUAGUUGGUAAGGUAACGGCUUACCAAGGCAACGAUGCGUAGCCGACCUGAGAGGGUGAUCGGCCACAUUGGAACUGAGACACGGUCCAGACUCCUACGGGAGGCAGCAGUAGGGAAUCUUCCGCAAUGGGCGAAAGCUUGACGGAGCAACGCCGCGUGAGUGAUGAAGGUCUUCGGAUCGUAAAACUCUGUUAUUAGGGAAGAACAAAUGUGUAAGUAACUAUGCACGUCUUGACGGUACCUAAUCAGAAAGCCACGGCUAACUACGUG